GGGCCCGCACAAGCGGAGGAACAUGUGGUUUAAUUCGAUGAUACGCGAGGAACCUUACCAAGACUUAAAUGUAGAUUGACAGAUUGUGAAAACAGUUUUUCUUCGGACAAUUUACAAGGUGCUGCAUGGUUGUCGUCAGCUCGUGCCGUGAGGUGUCGGGUUAAGUCCCAUAACGAGCGCAACCCCUAUUUUUAGUUACCAGCGAGUAAUGUCGGGAACUCUAGAAAGACUGCCUGUGUAAACAGUGAGGAAGGUGGGGAUGACGUCAAAUCAUCACGGCCCUUAUGUCUUGGGCUACACACGUGUUACAAUGGUUACUACAGUGGGCUGCCAUCUGGCAACAGAGAGCAAAUCCAUAAAGGUAAUCCCAGUUCGGAUCGGAGUCUGCAACUCGACUCUGUG
This 402-nucleotide ribosomal RNA is filed under the name uncultured bacterium. Its description in RNAcentral is "bacterial SSU rRNA". It matches the Rfam family "Bacterial small subunit ribosomal RNA", at positions 917 to 1322 of the family's 1533-position model. The record is from RNAcentral.